Molecule: long non-coding RNA, 2507 nt
Organism: Trifolium pratense (red clover)
Lineage: Eukaryota; Viridiplantae; Streptophyta; Magnoliopsida; Fabales; Fabaceae
Exons: 3
Source: RefSeq, a predicted model, not a curated record
UUGAAUUGUGUACUUGUUCUUAUGCAGUGUGGUUUUGUCAAAAUAAUGAUGUUCUUUCAUUAUAGCAUGGAGCCUCAAGUUUUGGUUGCAUAUUUCAUUUUGAAGCAUGUUUUCUUGAUAUUAUUUCAUCUGGUGUUAUAAUUUUCUUUCACUUGUUUGAUCUUCUGACUUUGUAUUCUGGUUCUUUUUUUUUUCUGGUUUUUUGAUUGUGAGGUUUGAUACAUGUUAAUUGAAAAACGACAUUGUUUUCUAUAGUGCGGUGUGUUUUGAAACAAUAACAUUUGAGUAGUAUCAAGCCUCAGGUUUAUUUUGGAACCUCUACUUGGAAUGCAAAUUAUUUUCAUUUCAUUUAUUAUUUGCCGAUUCUUAUUGUUCUGGAUUUGUUUCUUUAUGAUUUACUAUUAAUACUUAUUUUUUCUUAUGAAUGUUCACGUACUUCCCGUUCAGCCUAUAAUGUGUGGCUUGCAAGGGAUCCAGUGGCAGGAAGAGGUUCACAUACUUCCUUCCCAGCCUUGGGAUAAAACAAUUGAUUUACUUACAUGUGUGUAUUUGUUUUAGGAUAGUGUUGAAAGCGAAAAUUGGGAUAAAACAAUUGAAUUACUUACAUGUGUGGCUUGCAAAUUGGUUGGAAAUUUGGUCAACUCUUCUAAGAAUCUUUAUAUUUCAGUCUUUUUUUGAUACUCAGCAUAUAUUUUUUUCAGUUCCUGAGUUUUCUUUGUGGGUGUUACAGGGGAGAGAGCCUAUAAAUAUGUGUUUUACUGUGGAACCCAUGGCAAACAGAGGCUCAAUGUUUUUAUUUUUACUUGGUUACUUUGGUCUCCUGAUGUUGAGAACCCGAGUACUCUAACAAAGAUUAGAAGAUUUUCGAAUGACUCUUUUAUCUUUCCCAAGAUGAGGAAUUUUGGACAACUUGGUUACAUAAACCUGAUUCUGACUAUUUGUUUGUUAGCGAUAACUUAACUUUGCCCGGGGAGGUUUCUAAAUCUUCUUUACUGUUUUGUUGUUUUUAUUAUGAUUAGUGAUUUAUGAUGAUGAUACACCUAAUAAGAUACCCUCUUCAUUACAGUGGCCAAAGGACUCCUCAUUAGGUGGAAGCCAAAAUUGUAUUAUUUAAUAUGGCUACAUGAUCUUGCAAAUUGGUGUCUUUUGAUGCAUGUCUACUUUUCAGUCAGUUGAAGUUUUGGAUAUCUUUUGAUACAAUUGGAUAAGAAAGGAGAGUACAGAUAAUUCAAAUUUCUUCAAUGAAAUUCUAUUUACUAUUUUUAAUCCAGAUAUUUCAAAUUUCUUCAUUGAGUUGCUAUAUACUAUUUUUAUUUUCAGACUUUGUCAUAAGACAUACUAAUUGAAUUGUGAACUACUUUUCUGCAGCGUGGUUUGUCAUAGAGCUUUCAGUUUUUAUUUGGUGAUAUCUAGUAAAUUCCUUUAGUUUCAGUAUUUGUUCAUCAAUUUUGAGAGCAUAUAUUUAUUGAUUUGUUAUUUUUCUCAUUUUUCUCUUUGGUUUUGCAGGAGAGGUAAUCUAAAUGCAAACAAUUCCUUCGUGAUCUUCCUCUUGUUUGAUUUUUAGUUUUUGUUUUGACACUCUUUUUUCCCUGGUUACUUUGGUUUUGAUCUUGAAGUUUGCUGUUCUUAUUUUAAUAAUCUGCAGCUACUAAUUAAUGAGUUAUUUGUUUUCACAAUAUUGAGAUAUUCUCUCAAUCAAGUUUAUUUUGGUACACUUCUUGCAAUGUGAAUUAUUUUCGAUUCAUUUUCUCUAGAGUUUUAAAUUCUUUUGUUUUUCAAUAUUUCAUCUGUAUUGUUAUUAUUUUCUAGUUGAUUAUUUUGGGUUCUUGCUUCUGAUAUUUUAUUUGGUUGUUGUUGGUUUCAAACUUGGAGUUUGGCGCGCUUAUUUUAAUGUGAUACACUACUAUUAUAGAGUUCGUUAGGUUUUUAGUCGACUUGUUUGCUAAUUCCUCUUUUGCAUCAAAUAUUAUUCUUCGUUUGAGCAUGUACAUAUCGUGUUUUGCUUUUAAUAUAUUUAUUUUGCAGCGUGGUUGAGUUCUGAUGUGAUUUUUCUUUUUAAUGUGUUUCAAUUUGGACAGCACGCUUCGUUUUUAACAUGUAAUCUGGUAGUACAGAAGUUUACAUGAUUCUGUUGAAAUUCUGACAGCUUUGUGGGGCUCUCUGUAAUUAUGACCUUCUGAUCAGCAACUUGUGCAAGUACCUAGAAGUCUCAAGCACACUGCACCUUGUUAAUUUUGAUGUGCUGCAGUUGGAGAUGAGUGCCUCUGCUUUGUACUACUUGUGUCAUGUGAAAUAAAUUGGUCUUUAUUUUUAACUUAUGUGUUUGUUCCCAAAUAAUUGGUCUUUGAUCAUGUACAGGUUGGACAUUAAGUUUGUGUUUCUUCUAGUGUUGAAGUUGGUGCCAAUGUUUUUGUGUUUCUUCUAGUGCUGAAGUUGGUGCCGAAGUUAUACACGGUGCCAUUGGUGCCGAGCGGAGCGUUUUUUCCUAUGAUGCAAUGGAAUAUUUA